This 253-nucleotide ribosomal RNA is filed under the name uncultured bacterium. RNAcentral describes it as "partial 16S ribosomal RNA". It matches the Rfam family "Bacterial small subunit ribosomal RNA", at positions 524 to 776 of the family's 1533-position model. The record is from RNAcentral.
UACGUAGGGGGCGAGCGUUGUCCGGAAUUACUGGGCGUAAAGAGAGCGUAGGCGGCACUACAAGUCUCAUGUGAAAUACCCGGGCUUAACUUGGGGGUUGCAUGGGAAACUGUAGAGCUUGGGUACAGGAGAGGCAAGCGGAAUUCCUAGUGUAGCGGUGAAAUGCAUAGAUAUUAGGAGGAACACCAGUGGCGAAGGCGGCUUGCUGGACUGAAACUGACGCUGAGGCUCGAAAGCGUGGGGAGCAAACAGG